AGGGGGGGAAGUUCUUAUACUAUCUCACCCCUACAAAAAUCUCCAAUCUAACUGAAAGUCUCGGUAAAACCCUCCAUUUUCUUGAGUGCUCAACAGAAUACUGAAUGAUACUAAUAGCCCAUGAUCAACAACGAUACGAUAGGUGCACAUCCACCUUCACAUUCAUUUUUCCAAGAGCUCUCACAAAUAUCGAUAGUCUCAUCAUCACUCGCAGAGUCGUAAGUCGAAUCCACCAUCACUUGUAUAAACGACGUCAAAAUAGAUGUGCUCAUAUCAUUUGCUGCUGGAGAUGUAUUAUUAGGGUAUCCAAAAUGCAAACUUGAGCCUCGAGGUAGAAUAGACACUAUCUUACCUUUGUUAGAAAGUGUCCCAUCAAUUUCAGGUCUUCCCUUGGUGUAGGACGUCGUUCGACAUCCUUCUCAUAGGACUAACUUGAAAGACAAGAAACCAGGAAGAGGAUUCUGACUCAGAAGGGUUUCGUAACGGUCAACCCACCACCACUAUCAACGAUGAGUCUAACAUUGACAAAACCUAUAAACUUAUCAACUCCCAGCCAAAGGACCCUUACAAAAGAUGGAGAAGGGGAAGUGGAAGUGCAUUUAUACAACAGAAAUUUCCUCGGAGCAUAAACGCAAGAGUAACAAUGGCCACCUUCAAAAACAAUUCAGUAAAUUUCUCAUUGAGUAAAUUUACAACUUCGCUGGAAUGAGUACUGUGAAAAUAACAGAUGGAGGGAUAAACUCAGGGAAAACAAAUAGAAGACAAUUUCAUCGAGAAAUACCGACACAAUCAAUUCAUUUCAUACAGAAAGAAUGAAUCAAUCAAUACCAUCCUGACAUACUAAACUUGGGGAAUCAUUUCAAAGGACAAAACAUGCCAUAGAAUUGAGGGAAAUAAAGGACUAAUAAGAAUGAUGAGGAAGAAAACUAUGUUCAAGUCACCUAAACAUUGUGGCCUGACCAUUGAACAAAAGCCAUUCUUAAGAACGAAAUUAUUUACUUUUUCCAGCUGCUUUUGAUUGAGGUAGGGUUCCGAAUACCUUGUCCCAUAACGACGAAGUGA
Molecule: long non-coding RNA, 1062 nt
Organism: Rhododendron vialii
Lineage: Eukaryota; Viridiplantae; Streptophyta; Magnoliopsida; Ericales; Ericaceae
Exons: 2
Source: RefSeq, a predicted model, not a curated record